GCAGUAUUUAAAGGGCCGGCCCAGGAACGCGGCCGGCCCCCAGGUGCCGCGGCCCACCGGGAAAUUUCCCGGUAUCCCGGUGGGCCAGUCCGGCCCUGGGUAGAGGUUACUCUGGGACGCCUUUCCUAAAGAGAUGGGUCUCAAGGCACUUCCUAAAAGAUGCAAGACCAGCGGAGAGUCUGAUGGUGGUAGGCAGGCCAUUCCAUAGGAAGAGAGCCGCCCGUGAGAAGUCCUGCAAGCGUGAGUUGGUCUUACGGGUGCGAACAAUGGACAGAAGGUGGUCACGGGAGAGCGAGAAGGCACAUACCCAUGGAGGGGCUAGAAUUGUUCAGUGCUUUAUAGGUAUGGGUUAGAACUUUGAAUUGACUCCUAAAGGAUACAGGAAGCCAAUGUAAGGACUGACAGAGGGGUGAGGUGUGAGAGAACCGACUAGAGAGGAAAACCAGUCUGGCGGCAGCGCUCAAUGCAUCAAAAAAUAGCAAAAUAUGAAUCUAAAAGUUUAUCCAGAAAUAUGAAAUCAAUUGAAAAGUUUAUUCAAAAAUAUUAAAUUGUGGUCUAAGCUGG
Pelobates cultripes (western spadefoot toad) is the source of this 564-nucleotide non-coding RNA. Lineage: Eukaryota; Metazoa; Chordata; Amphibia; Anura; Pelobatidae. The record is from the annotation of a GenBank genome assembly.